This 392-nucleotide ribosomal RNA is filed under the name uncultured bacterium. Its description in RNAcentral is "bacterial SSU rRNA". It matches the Rfam family "Bacterial small subunit ribosomal RNA", at positions 362 to 771 of the family's 1533-position model. The record is from RNAcentral.
UAUUGCACAAUGGGUGAAACCCUGAUGCAGCGACGCCGCGUGAGUGAAGAAGUAUUUCGGUACGUAAAGCUCUAUCAGCAGGGAAGAAAAUGACGGUACUUGACUAAGAAGCCCCGGCUAACUACGUGCCAGCAGCCGCGGUAAUACGUAGGGGGCAAGCGUUAUCCGGAGUUACUGGGUGUAAAGGGAGCGUAGACGGCAGCGCAAGUCUGGAGUGAAAUGCCGAGGCCCAACCCCGGAACUGCUUUGGAAACUGUGCAGCUCGAGUGCAGGAGAGGUAAGCGGAAUUCCUAGUGUAGCGGUGAAAUGUGUAGAUAUUAGGAGGAACACCAGUGGCGAAGGCGGCUUACUGGACUGUAACUGACGUUGAGGCUCGAAAGCGUGGGGAGCAA